Molecule: ribosomal RNA, 282 nt
Filed under: Mortierella sp.
Lineage: Eukaryota; Fungi; Mortierellomycota; Mortierellomycetes; Mortierellales; Mortierellaceae
Description: partial large subunit ribosomal RNA
Source: RNAcentral
AAACGUUUGACACCAGUCAUGCGGGUGGAAAAUCAACCUUUUGGGAUGAGGAGUGGUGGAAGUUCAGACCGCAAGGCUGACUCUUAUCUCAUCUUUAGACUAAAGGGUGCACUUUUUCAUUUGCAGGUCAACAUCAGCUUUCUCUGCUGGACAAAACUCUGAGAGAAGGUAGCAGCUUUGGCUGUGUUAUAGCUCUGGAGCGAUACAGUGGGGGGACUGAGGUUUUCGCAGUGUGUGCUCUCGGGCAAGGUCGACUGGGUGCUAUGUGAUCGUUCGGCGUAC